CAGUAGCCACGGGAAAACGGAGGGUGCAAGCGUUAAUCGGAAUUACUGGGCGUAAAGGGUGCGUAGGCGGUUGUUUAAGUCUGUCGUGAAAGCCCUGGGCUCAACCUGGGAAUUGCGAUGGAUACUGGGCGACUAGAGUGCGGUAGAGGAUAGUGGAAUUUCCGGUGUAGCAGUGAAAUGCGUAGAGAUCGGAAGGAACAUCUGUGGCGAAGGCGACUAUCUGGGCCAACACUGACACUGAGACACGAAAGCGUGGGGAGCAAACAGGAUUAGAUACCCCUGUAGUCCCUGUCUCUUAUAU
This 301-nucleotide ribosomal RNA is filed under the name uncultured bacterium. RNAcentral describes it as "partial 16S ribosomal RNA". It matches the Rfam family "Bacterial small subunit ribosomal RNA", at positions 509 to 809 of the family's 1533-position model. The record is from RNAcentral.